UUCUUUUGCCGUUGUGUUUCUUUCUGUUCUCGCCUGCAACAGGAUGGAGAAAUGGCCAGAAAACAGAAAGAGUGAUAUAGCCUAAGCUUCACGAUUGCGUGCCUAAUACAAAAUGCUCCGUGAGAAACUUUGGGCCACGCUUUCAACCAGUCGUAUUUUUUGAACAACUACCGUUCUAAGCGCCUGGGAGAGUACAGCGGAUUUGGUAGAUCCGUUCCCUGCCCACAACAAGCUUACGGUGUAGAGGGGACUGCACUGAACUGAGGGAGAAAAAUAUUAUUAAUUUGCCACCGAUUUAAGGUUUCCAACCGGCCGUGUCGGUUUGUCUUGCUAGCGACGAGAACAUAAUAAUAAUAAUGAUGUUGGUGUUUGUUAAGCGCUUACUAUGUGCCGAGCACCGUUCUAAGCGCUGGGGUAGAGACAGGGGACUCAGGUUGUCCCACGUGGGGCUCACAGUCUUAAUCCCCAUUUUACAGAUGAGGGAACCGAGGCACAGAGAAGUUAAGUGACUCGCCCAAAGUCACACAGCUGACGAGUGGCCGAGCCUGGAUUCGAACCCAUGACCUCUGACUCCGAAGCCCGGGCUCUUUCCACUGAGCCACGCUGCUUCCCGACGUCUUCCGAACACCUUUUCAGGGUCCGAAGGCUACCGCUGCACUCGUUCGGGUCACCUGAGGAAAAAGAACAUCAUACCCUUCCCGCCUGUGCCGACAACGCCUUUGUUCGUAUACUUCUUCCUUGGUUCGGUCGUAUUCCCUAAGCAUCAGCUCCACAGCAUUCUAUCCGCAUCCUCGUACUUUCCUACUUCCCCUUUCUGUAAUUUACUUUAAUGCCUGCCUCACCCUGUAGACUGUAAACUCUUUGAGGGCAGGGAUCGUGUCUAUCAGCUCUGGUUUUUUUGGACUUUCCCAAGCCCUUGGUAAAGUGCCCUGCACACAGUAAGGCGCCAUAAAUCCCGCCGAUGGAUUGACGUGUGCGCUGCGCUGAUGCCGAUAAGUCACCACAACCGUGCCGUGCAAAAACCAGGAGGCAGCAUAGCAAAGACACAACUGGGAAAGGUGCGUUGAUCCGGUUUCAUGGAGGUGGGUGCCAUAUUUUAAGAGGGGCUGCCGUCCUUUCUGGAAAAUGCGGCGCUGUAAUCCAGUCCCCUAGACGGUAAGCUCACUGUGGGCAGGGAACGCGUCUGCUUAUUGUGAUAUUGUACUCUCCCAAGCACGGUGUCCUGCACACGAUAAGCGCUCCAUAAAUACGACUGAUGGAUCCGUAUUUGAUUUCCACUCAAUCGCCCGGUGACCGCGCACACACACAAACACCGCAGAGGCUGUGGACCGUUGCUGGGUAAAACGUACGUGCCGAGCCUUUAGCAUCUCAUGUUCUGUAUUUGCUCUCGGUUGGAGCAGUUUUUAUUUUUUAUUACCGCUUCUUGUAUCCGCCCGGCCGCGUAACCAACUGAAAGAAGAACUUUCGGUAAUAGUUCAGGGUUCUGGCGCUUUGAAAAAGCCAGCAGAGGGAGCCGUCUAUAUAGGUGAUAAAAUAAGCGGUCGUUUAUUGAAUUCUAUUUCACGAGGAUCAGCACGUUUUGAUAAUCAAUCAGUCAAUCGAUGCUAUUUAGCGAGUGCCUCUUUGCAGGCAAAGCUCUGGACUAAGUUCAUAUGGUUGCUUUGACUUUUGUUCCGCAGACUUCAUCGCACCUACCGAAACGAUGAAAAGUUUUGGCAGAACCGGGGGGGGGGGGUGGGUUAGUUCUUCCUGUUUUCAUUCGUUUCUGUCUUUUUUUUUUUUUUUAACAUCAUCCGCGCGAGCCCCAGUUGUUUAUCGAAAACAAUAAUAAUGCCACGUAACCAGAACCGAUAAGGCAGUUUUCUCAGUGUUGUCACAUCGGGUGUUUUGGGUCCUCGGUUUAGACGUAACAUUAUGGAAGACGUGGGAAUUUUCCCACCAGAAUAACACGACUCGCAAAUUGGUACAGGUAGAUCCAGUGGAGGAAGAAAUGGUCGUGCGUAUAGGGGUGAUGUUAACCAAGAAGGAGUGUUAACCAAGAAGGAGUGUGGCCUGGUAGAAAGAGUAUGGGCCUGGGCGGUCUGAUCCCUGUUCCACCACAAACCUGCCGUGUGACCUCGAGCCAGUCAUUUCGUUCCUCUGUGCCUCAGCUCCCUCAUCUCAAAAUGGAGACUCAAUAUCUAUUCUGCUUCCUACUUAGACUGCGAGCCCCACGCGAGACCCGAUAAACUCGUGUCUACCCAGGGCUUGGAACGGUACUCGGCACGAGAAGCAGCGUGGCCUGGUGGAGAGAGCACGAGCCUGGAAGUCAGAAGGUCCUGGGUGCUAAUCGUGGCUCCGUCACUUGUCUUCUGCGUGUCCUUGGGUGAGUCACUUAACCUCUCCGUGCCUCAUACCCUUCAAAUGCCGUUGAGUUGGUUCAGACCCGGGGACGCACCUCCCUCAGGACGUCCCCUAUUACCUUAUCUGUACAACGGGAUUUGACUGUGAGCCCAGUGUGGGACAUAGACCGUGUCCAACCUGAUUAUCUUAUGCCUAU
Molecule: long non-coding RNA, 2539 nt
Filed under: Ornithorhynchus anatinus (platypus)
Lineage: Eukaryota; Metazoa; Chordata; Mammalia; Monotremata; Ornithorhynchidae
Description: lncRNA (ENSOANG00000035212.2)
Source: RNAcentral